UACAGGACAGUAUUGUUUUUCCCUUGCGAUUUGGGUGAGGUGGGCGGCGGGCCGGCGGCGCUGGGCGUGAAAUGGGGUGGCGCGCAUGCCUGUGGGCCGCUGAGAGUUCUCUGUUGCGGCAGCGAGGGUGAUCGGCUGGGGCGGUGUGUCACGGUGGCGGGGGAGGCUGCUUGGUCGGCUGCUGUGGAUUCACUUCUCAGGCUCUGUCUCAGAGGUUGCGUCUGUUGGUGAUGGUCUGUGGAAGGAGGGUUUCCGGCGGGCGGGCGGCGGGCGCUGUCCAGCGGGAUUCUUCGUCGCCGAUCCGCGGGUUUUCCGCCGUUGCCCCGCUCUGCUCCGGCUUCUCCUCCACCUGCUGCACUUCCUUGCCCCGUCCAGAUUAGGGAGUCACCAUGUGGUGGCUCGCUAUCUGCCCCCAUACCGGGGCGCCGGCCAUCUCGAGUUGUCCCCUCCGUUCGCCGUCCGAAUGGUCCCAGGCCUUUCUCCUCCAUGUGCGCCAUCUCCUGACGAACUCCACCUCAGAUUCAGUCUGAACCCGUGACGCCCCCUCCCAGUCCCAGCCGUCCCUCACCCCCUUGCGCCCCUACACCUGUACAGUGCUGGGUUCCGUUGGAAGUCAUCUGCAAGUGUGCCACCUCUCAUGAUGGAUUCUUCUCAUGGUGGGGAUUCGGUCUGAAGGUGGAAGCUGUUGGAACCGAGGAUCGACGGACGGUCAGACAAGAACACAAGACACGAUGGUUUACCGGGCGACGAACGCCCGCCGGGCGACAGACGCCCCCAGCGACGAACGCUGGCCUUUCUCUGUAUUUCUCCAACUCGGCUCGGCUUACAACAGGCAGCAGUACGGAGAAAUUUGGCAACAAAUAAAUUUGAGGAAAGAAUACGAACACCAUUCUCGUCGUUGCACACCUGGACUCUCACGGAUAUCUGGGAAUGAGCGCUUCCUAUUCAAAAUUUACUUGCAGAAUCAACUGAUUGGUAUGUAAUUUUUGCUGCAGCAAUAUGAGCAAAUAUUAUAUUCUUUGGGAUAGUUGCUGAUGUUUUUUCUUCACAUGAAAAGCUUAGUAAUGAUGUAAGGUAGGGUUCCCAUGUCACUUGUUAAAUAAACAAUUCAGUUUCAGCUAGACUAUUCUUUGCUACAUCACACUUAUACUUCCGCUGCCCAGACGAUAUGCAUUAUAAUUGCCACUAAAUUAGAUAUCAAAAGUAGUUUGUGGCUCAGGUGUUAAAUGUUCUUCAUGCACAUCAAGUUGUUCUAAAGUUUGGUGGAACUAAUUUUUCUAAAACAACCUUCUGACUAAGUUGUACUAAAUCAGCGACACUUAUUUUUGGAUGGAGGGAGUACUAAACAUAGUGUUUUUGCUGCUUAUUGAUAUUGCCAAUCUUUUCCAUGAAUGUUUCUCACUCUGGUGUCUUGGAUAGUUUACCUGCUUUGCCUCAGACAAGAUAUACGUAUAAAGCAAAUUAUUUCAUAUACUAAAAAAUUGUUCCUUGUUAUCCGAAAUCAUCUCAUGCCGAAACCUAUCUUUGGACUAAGCUGCAACUAGCAGCUUUUAUUCGGUAUUAAAUCAGCUAUCAACAAAAUAAGUAACUAAAUAGUUAGGUACUCGAUAAUAUCCGUCGACCGUAUUUAUUGUGCUUUUUAGUUGCCUUAGCAGUGGUACAGUUCACAUGUCCAUGUCCAUUUUGCAGAAGGUCCAUAUGUUGAACUUCUUUUUAAGAAUCUGCUAAUGACGGUGUGUAGAACUGCGGUUUCCUUGCAAGGAUUGCUCGCUGUCACUCUUUUGGCAAUCUUGCUGAAGAUUGGUUGGCCAGUGUGCCGUUAUUUUAUUUGUGCAGCUGUAAGGCUUGGGACUGAGGCAGGAGCAUUCCCCCAAGGGAAAUCAAGUUUUAUUGGGAGGUGGUAUGUUGUGGAUGUCACCAUAUCGUGUAUUUUCCUUCGUUCAGGUUACAUUUCAUUUCAGGUUCUAGAAUCUUAUCCAAAAGGCAGUGCUGUCUUUGUGGAUUUUGUUAAGCUUUGUCUUACGACACUUCAUGGCAGUGUUCACUGUCAAAUCCUGUAGGAAAUAUGUCUGACUAUGUAUGCGCACAUGUAGAGAUGUGCCUAUAAUGAAUAUUUACACAUGUGAUUGAUGUUCAUUCAUUUUGCAGCACUACUAGCUUCGCCACACGCACCACCUGAGAGAUGGUUCUGCCUGUAGAGAUGUACCUAUAACGAACUACACAUGAGAUUGAUUGUGAUUCAUUUUACAACAGUACUAACAUAGCCACUUGCGCCACCGGAUGUUAUCAUGGUAAUCUCGUAGUCAUAAGGAAAAGGCGUCCUGGUGGCGAGUGUCAUCGUAUUUUCCUUUUCACGUGUUUUGAUCACUUCAUUGGUCAACGUAGGAGUGUGUGGCUGUUAAUGCCUUGUAUUUUUGGUUGAAAACAUGAUUGGUACUA
This is a long non-coding RNA of Triticum aestivum (bread wheat), 2439 nucleotides long. RefSeq lists it as uncharacterized. NCBI's taxonomy places the organism in Eukaryota, Viridiplantae, Streptophyta, Magnoliopsida, Poales, Poaceae. The transcript is spliced from 4 exons. The record is from RefSeq and is a predicted model, not a curated record.